RNAcentral lists this ribosomal RNA (403 nucleotides) under Verrucomicrobiota bacterium. RNAcentral's name for it is "Verrucomicrobia bacterium partial 16S ribosomal RNA". It matches the Rfam family "Bacterial small subunit ribosomal RNA", at positions 355 to 776 of the family's 1533-position model. Lineage: Bacteria; Pseudomonadati; Verrucomicrobiota. The record is from RNAcentral.
UGGGGAAUAUUGCACAAUGGGGGAAACCCUGAUGCAGCGACGCCGCGUGAGCGAAGAAGGCUUUCGAGUCGUAAAGCUCUGUCCUAUGAGAAGAUAAUGACGGUAUCAUAGGAGGAAGCCCUGGCUAAAUACGUGCCAGCAGCCGCGGUAAUACGUAUGGGGCGAGCGUUGUCCGGAAUUAUUGGGCGUAAAGGGUACGUAGGUGGGUUUUUAAGUCAGGUGUCAAAGCGUGGAGCUUAACUCCAUUAAGCACUUGAAACUGAAAGACUUGAGUGAAGGAGAGGAAAGUGGAAUUCCUAGUGUAGCGGUGAAAUGCGUAGAUAUUAGGAGGAAUACCGGUGGCGAAGGCGACUUUCUGGACUUUUACUGACGCUCAGGUACGAAAGCGUGGGGAGCAAACAGG